GAUGAACGCUGGCGGCGUGCCUAAUACAUGCAAGUCGAGCGAACAGACGAGGAGCUUGCUCCUCUGACGUUAGCGGCGGACGGGUGAGUAACACGUGGAUAACCUACCUAUAAGACUGGGAUAACUUCGGGAAACCGGAGCUAAUACCGGAUAAUAUAUUGAACCGCAUGGUUCAAUAGUGAAAGACGGUUUUGCUGUCACUUAUAGAUGGAUCCGCGCCGCAUUAGCUAGUUGGUAAGGUAACGGCUUACCAAGGCAACGAUGCGUAGCCGACCUGAGAGGGUGGUCGGCCACACUGGAACUGGACCACGGUCCAGACUCCUACGGGAGGCAGCAGUAGGGAAUCUUCCGCAAUGGGCGAAAGCCUGACGGAGCGACGCCGCGUGAGUGAUGAAGGUCUUCGGAUCGUAAAACUCUGUUAUUAGGGAAGAACAAAUGUGUAAGUAACUAUGCACGUCUUGACGGUACCUAAUCAGAAAGCCACGGCUAACUACGUG
This 497-nucleotide ribosomal RNA is filed under the name uncultured bacterium. RNAcentral describes it as "partial 16S ribosomal RNA". It matches the Rfam family "Bacterial small subunit ribosomal RNA", at positions 28 to 507 of the family's 1533-position model. The record is from RNAcentral.